This 466-nucleotide small RNA is filed under the name Histoplasma ohiense. Its description in RNAcentral is "hypothetical lncRNA". The record is from RNAcentral. Lineage: Eukaryota; Fungi; Ascomycota; Eurotiomycetes; Onygenales; Ajellomycetaceae.
GGCCCACGAGGGCAAGGCACGCAUCCAAACCUUACUUCAACCUCCAUCGACAUCUCAGUCAUUCGUGUCUAACUAACUGCAACGUCGUUUAAUCUAGUUGAUGGACGCCAACCUUGCCUAGGAAGCACAAUGCAAUCCCUUUCAUGCCAUAGGAUUCUCUAACUUCAACAUUCCCGAAAUAUAUACCACUACCUUACAAUUCCUGCUAGAUCGUGACGCAAUGAACUGGACCGGGGGGCGCUUGCAACGCCACUCUUAUAAAAGCUACAAAUCUCAAAAGGCUGCCCAGAAGCAGUAUUUUGCAAGGGCAAGACUGAAAGCCCAGAAAAGACUCCACCAAGGGCCGUCUUCAUCCACCGCGAGAUCAUUGCUAUCGCAGCGCCUGCCUAAGGAGUUAUCCCACUCACAGGAACGCGAAGGAAUCGACCAUUACAUCGGGAAUGAGAGAAGAGUAGACAAAAACAUC